RNAcentral lists this ribosomal RNA (492 nucleotides) under uncultured bacterium. Its description in RNAcentral is "partial 16S ribosomal RNA". It matches the Rfam family "Bacterial small subunit ribosomal RNA", at positions 29 to 507 of the family's 1533-position model. The record is from RNAcentral.
AGUGAACGCUGGCGGUAGGCCUAACACAUGCAAGUCGAACGGCAGCACAGUAAGAGCUUGCUCUUACGGGUGGCGAGUGGCGGACGGGUGAGGAAUACAUCGGAAUCUACUUUUUCGUGGGGGAUAACGUAGGGAAACUUACGCUAAUACCGCAUACGACCUACGGGUGAAAGCAGGGGAUCUUCGCACCUUGCGCGAUUGAAUGAGCCGAUGUCGGAUUAGCUAGUUGGCGGGGUAAAGGCCCACCAAGGCGACGAUCCGUAGCUGGUCUGAGAGGAUGAUCGGCCACACUGGAACUGAGACACGGACCAGACUCCUACGGGAGGCAGCAGUGGGGAAUAUUGGACAAUGGGCGCAAGCCUGAUCCAGCCAUACCGCGUGGGUGAAGAAGGCCUUCGGGUUGUAAAGCCCUUUUGUUGGGAAAGAAAAGCAGCAGGUUAAUACCCCGCUGUUCUGACGGUACCCAAAGAAUAAGCACCGGCUAACUUCGUG